RNAcentral lists this ribosomal RNA (270 nucleotides) under uncultured bacterium. RNAcentral's name for it is "partial 16S ribosomal RNA". It matches the Rfam family "Bacterial small subunit ribosomal RNA", at positions 524 to 776 of the family's 1533-position model. The record is from RNAcentral.
UACGAGGGGGGCAAGCGUUGUUCGGAAUUAUUGGGCGUAAAGGGCGCGUAGGCGGUGCGGUAAGACUGUGGUGAAAGCCCGAGGCUCAACUUCGGGUCGGCCAUGGAUACUCCUGGGCUCGAGCACUGUAGAGGCAGGUGGAAUUCCGGGUGUAGCGGUGGAAUGCGUAGAGAUCCGGAAGAACACCGGUGGCGAAGGCGGCCUGCUGGGCAGUGACCGUAAGGUCUUAAAAGCUGACGCUGAGGCGCGACAGCGUGGGGAGCAAACAGG